This 120-nucleotide small nucleolar RNA is filed under the name Echinops telfairi (small Madagascar hedgehog). RNAcentral describes it as "Small nucleolar RNA SNORA61 (ENSETEG00000025927.1)". Lineage: Eukaryota; Metazoa; Chordata; Mammalia; Afrosoricida; Tenrecidae. The record is from RNAcentral.
ACCCUCCAGAUUCUUGAGUCAUCGGACCUGCACACUGGUCUCAGUGGUUAUUCAAGGAGGGAAAGUAAAAUGGAAACCGACUUAAGUUUUUGAUGGCACACGAGCUAGUUUAAAGCCAAC